CUGGAAGCUCAGACUGGAAGAUCAC
Molecule: non-coding RNA, 25 nt
Filed under: Cricetulus griseus (Chinese hamster)
Lineage: Eukaryota; Metazoa; Chordata; Mammalia; Rodentia; Cricetidae
Source: RNAcentral